CUACAAUGGCGUAAACAAAGGGAGGCGAAGUGGUGACAUGGAGCGAACCCCAAAAAUAAACGUCCCAGUUCGGAUUGUAGUCUGCAACCCGACUACAUGAAGCUGGAAUCGCUAGUAAUCGCGGAUCAGAAUGCCGCGGUGAAUACGUUCCCGGGUCUUGUACACACCGCCCGUCACACCAUGGGAGCCGGUAACGCCCGAAGUCAGUGACCCAACCGAGAGGAGGGAGCUGCCGAAGGCGGGACAGGUAACUGGGGUGAAGUCGUAACAAGGUACC
RNAcentral lists this ribosomal RNA (277 nucleotides) under uncultured bacterium. Its description in RNAcentral is "partial 16S ribosomal RNA". It matches the Rfam family "Bacterial small subunit ribosomal RNA", at positions 1225 to 1500 of the family's 1533-position model. The record is from RNAcentral.